CAAAUUCAAGCUGAAUCCUUGGAGGAUUUGAGUUGGGGAUCACAUCAUAGAUGCUCACAAGGAUCCUAGCAAUAAUUUCCACUAACAAACCUCGCGGGAUGAGGGCUCAAACUCGAACAACAAUAAAUCCCAAAAAAUAGCUCCGAAAAUACUGAAAAACAGAAAUGGGAGAAACCAAAAGACUUAGCCACGGAUUUGAACCACAAACUCGACUAAAUCACGAGGACAACAUCUUUACAAGAUGAGGACUAGCCUCCUCCUUUCAUCCACCCACUAAGAUGAAGAAAUCAAGAGAAAAGAGCAAUCAUCCUCUCAUCUCCCUCUCUC
This 327-nucleotide long non-coding RNA is filed under the name Setaria viridis. RNAcentral's name for it is "long non-coding RNA (SVIR_LNC002119)". Lineage: Eukaryota; Viridiplantae; Streptophyta; Magnoliopsida; Poales; Poaceae. The record is from RNAcentral.